CCUACGGGGUGCAGCAGUGAGGAAUAUUGGUCAAUGGACGAGAGUCUGAACCAGCCAAGUAGCGUGAAGGAUGACUGCCCUAUGGGUUGUAAACUUCUUUUAUAUGGGAAUAAAAUGUUCCACGUGUGGGAUUUUGUAUGUACCAUAUGAAUAAGGAUCGGCUAACUCCGUGCCAGCAGCCGCGGUAAUACGGAGGAUCCGAGCGUUGUCCGGAUUUAUUGGGUUUAAAGGGAGCGUAGGUGGAUUGUUAAGUCAGUUGUGAAAGUUUGCGGCUCAACCGUAAAAUUGCAGUUGAAACUGGCAGUCUUGAGUACAGUAGAGGUGGGCGGAAUUCGUGGUGUAGCGGUGAAAUGCUUAGAUAUCACGAAGAACUCCGAUUGCGAAGGCAGUUCACUGGACUGCAACUGACACUGAGGCUCGAAAGUGUGGGUAUCAAACAGGAUUAGAUACCCGGGUAGUC
RNAcentral lists this ribosomal RNA (460 nucleotides) under uncultured bacterium. Its description in RNAcentral is "partial 16S ribosomal RNA". It matches the Rfam family "Bacterial small subunit ribosomal RNA", at positions 338 to 795 of the family's 1533-position model. The record is from RNAcentral.